GCCUGGGUGGCUCAGUCCAUUGAGCAUCCGACUUCAGCUCAGGUCAUGAUCUCACGGUUCCUGGGUUCGAGCCCCACCUCGGGCU
Non-coding RNA from Felis catus (domestic cat), 85 nucleotides. Lineage: Eukaryota; Metazoa; Chordata; Mammalia; Carnivora; Felidae. The record is from Rfam.